GAUGAACGCUGGCGGCGUGCCUAAUACAUGCAAGUCGAGCGAACAGACGAGGAGCUUGCUCCUCUGACGUUAGCGGCGGAAGGGUGAGUAACACGUGGAUAACCUACCUAUAAAACUGGGAUAACUUCGGGAAACCGGAGCUAAUACCGGAUAAUAUAUUGAACCGCAUGGUUCAAUAGUGAAAGACGGUUUUGCUGUCACUUAUAGAUGGAUCCGCGCCGCAUUAGCUAGUUGGUAAGGUAACGGCUUACCAAGGCAACGAUGCGUAGCCGACCUGAGAGGAUGAUCGGCCACACUGGAACUGAGACACGGUCCAGACUCCUACGGGAGGCAGCAGUAGGGAAUCUUCCGCAAUGGGCGAAAGCCUGACGGAGCAACGCCGCGUGAGUGAUGAAGGUCUUCGGAUCGUAAAACUCUGUUAUUAGGGAAGAACAAAUGUGUAAGUAACUAUGCACGUCUCGACGGUACCUAAUCAGAAAGCAACGGCUAACUACGUG
Molecule: ribosomal RNA, 497 nt
Filed under: uncultured bacterium
Lineage: Bacteria
Description: partial 16S ribosomal RNA
Rfam family: Bacterial small subunit ribosomal RNA
Source: RNAcentral